AUUGAACGCUGGCGGCAGGCUUAACACAUGCAAGUCGAGCGGAGUGAUGGUGCUUGCACUAUCACUUAGCGGCGGACGGGUGAGUAAUGCUUAGGAAUCUGCCUAUUAGUGGGGGACAACAUCUCGAAAGGGAUGCUAAUACCGCAUACGUCCUACGGGAGAAAGCAGGGGCUCACUUGUGACCUUGCGCUAAUAGAUGAGCCUAAGUCGGAUUAGCUAGUUGGUGGGGUAAAGGCCUACCAAGGCGACGAUCUGUAGCGGGUCUGAGAGGAUGAUCCGCCACACUGGGACUGAGACACGGCCCAGACUCCUACGGGAGGCAGCAGUGGGGAAUAUUGGACAAUGGGGGGAACCCUGAUCCAGCCAUGCCGCGUGUGUGAAGAAGGCCUUAUGGUUGUAAAGCACUUUAAGCGAGGAGGAGGCUUACCUAGUUAAUACCUGGGAUAAGUGGACGUUACUCGCAGAAUAAGCACCGGCUAACUCUGUGCCAGCAGCCGCCGCAG
Molecule: ribosomal RNA, 503 nt
Filed under: uncultured bacterium
Lineage: Bacteria
Description: partial 16S ribosomal RNA
Rfam family: Bacterial small subunit ribosomal RNA
Source: RNAcentral